CACUCCUACGGGAGGCAGCAGUGGGGAAUUUUGGACAAUGGGCGAAAGCCUGAUCCAGCCAUGCCGCGUGCAGGAUGAAGGCCUUCGGGUUGUAAACUGCUUUUGUACGGAACGAAACGGCCUUUUCUAAUAAAGAGGGCUAAUGACGGUACCGUAAGAAUAAGCACCGGCUAACUACGUGCCAGCAGCCGCGGUAAUACGUAGGGUGCAAGCGUUAAUCGGAAUUACUGGGCGUAAAGCGUGCGCAGGCGGUUAUGUAAGACAGUUGUGAAAUCCCCGGGCUCAACCUGGGAACUGCAUCUGUGACUGCAUAGCUAGAGUACGGUAGAGGGGGAUGGAAUUCCGCGUGUAGCAGUGAAAUGCGUAGAUAUGCGGAGGAACACCGAUGGCGAAGGCAAUCCCCUGGACCUGUACUAACGCUCAUGCACGAAAGCGUGGGGAGCAAACAGGAUUAGAAACCCUAGUAGUCCCAU
This 473-nucleotide ribosomal RNA is filed under the name uncultured organism. RNAcentral describes it as "partial 16S ribosomal RNA". It matches the Rfam family "Bacterial small subunit ribosomal RNA", at positions 334 to 798 of the family's 1533-position model. The record is from RNAcentral.